Molecule: ribosomal RNA, 497 nt
Filed under: uncultured bacterium
Lineage: Bacteria
Description: bacterial SSU rRNA
Rfam family: Bacterial small subunit ribosomal RNA
Source: RNAcentral
GAUGAACGCUAGCGGCAGGCUUAAUACAUGCAAGUCGUGGGGCAGCAGGUUUGUAGCAAUACAGAUGCUGGCGACCGGCAAACGGGUGCGGAACACGUACAGAACCUUCCUUUGAGCGGGGAAUAGCCCAGAGAAAUUUGGAUUAAUACCCCAUAGUAUAAUGAAGUGGCAUCACUUUAUUAUUAAAGAUUUAUCACUCGAAGAUGGCUGUGCGGCUGAUUAGGUAGUUGGCGGGGUAAAGGCCCACCAAGCCUGCGAUCAGUAACUGGUGUGAGAGCACGACCAGUCACACGGGCACUGAGACACGGGCCCGACUCCUACGGGAGGCAGCAGUAAGGAAUAUUGGUCAUUGGAGGCAGCUCUGAACCAGCCAUGCCGCGUGGAGGAUGAAGGUCCUCUGGAUUGUAAACUUCUUUAUAUGGGACGAAAAAAGGCUUUUCUAAGUCGUCUGACGGUACCAUAUGAAUAAGCACCGGCUAACUCCGUGCCAGCAGCCG